AUACGUAGGGUGCGAGCGUUGUCCGGAAUUACUGGGCGUAAAGAGCUCGUAGGUGGUUUGUCGCGUCGUCUGUGAAAUUCCGGGGCUUAACUCCGGGCGUGCAGGCGAUACGGGCAUAACUUGAGUACUGUAGGGGAGACUGGAAUUCCUGGUGUAGCGGUGAAAUGCGCAGAUAUCAGGAGGAACACCGGUGGCGAAGGCGGGUCUCUGGGCAGUAACUGACGCUGAGGAGCGAAAGCAUGGGUAGCGAACAGGAUUAGAUACCCUGGUAGUCCAUGCCGUAAACGGUGGGCGCUAGGUGUAGGGGUCUUCCACGACUUCUGUGCCGUAGCUAACGCAUUAAGCGCCCCGCCUGGGGAGUACGGCCGCAAGGCUAAAACUCCAAGGAAUUGACGGGG
RNAcentral lists this ribosomal RNA (398 nucleotides) under uncultured bacterium. RNAcentral describes it as "partial 16S ribosomal RNA". It matches the Rfam family "Bacterial small subunit ribosomal RNA", at positions 523 to 918 of the family's 1533-position model. The record is from RNAcentral.